Molecule: ribosomal RNA, 477 nt
Filed under: uncultured Desulfobulbus sp.
Lineage: Bacteria; Pseudomonadati; Thermodesulfobacteriota; Desulfobulbia; Desulfobulbales; Desulfobulbaceae
Description: bacterial SSU rRNA
Rfam family: Bacterial small subunit ribosomal RNA
Source: RNAcentral
ACGGGGCCCGGCACAAGCGGUGGAGUAUGUGGUUUAAUUCGAUGCAACGCGAAGAACCUUACCUGGUCUUGACAUCCCGGAGACCCUUAGGAAACUAGGGGGUGGCUUCCAUCUGGAAGAAAUCUGGAGACAGGUGCUGCAUGGCUGUCGUCAGCUCGUGUCGUGAGAUGUUGGGUUAAGUCCCGCAACGAGCGCAACCCUUGCCUUUAGUUGCCAGCAGUUCGGCUGGGCACUCUAAAGGGACUGCCGGUGUUAAACCGGAGGAAGGUGGGGAUGACGUCAAGUCCUCAUGGCCUUUAUGACCAGGGCUACACACGUACUACAAUGGCCGAUACAAAGGGCAGCGACACUGCGAGGUGAAGCCAAUCCCGUAAAAUCGGUCUCAGUCCGGAUUGGAGUCUGCAACUCGACUCCAUGAAGUUGGAAUCGCUAGUAAUCGUGGAUCAGCAUGCCACGGUGAAUACGUUCCCGGGCCUU